CCGCGUGUCGCGACAAAGCUGUCGCAGAGGGAGUCGUGGAGCGGCGCGGAGCCAACUUGGGCGGGCAGGAGCCGGGCGCACCUCGGGGCGGCAGCGCCGGGAGCCCGAUUCGGAGUCAGCUCUGCUCCGGUGCCAGCGCGGAGCCGCCGCGCCCCAAGGGGUCCCGGAGCCCCCUCCUCGCCCGGACCGCGGCGGGUCUCCGGCUGUGCUCCCAUCCCCUUCUCCAUCCUCAUCUUCAUCCUCAUCCCCAUCCCCUUCUCCAUCCUCAUCCUCAUCUUCAUCCUCGACCUCAUCCCCAUCCUCACUCCAUCCCCUUCUCCAUCCCCAUCCUCACCCCUACCCUCACCCCAUCCCCUUCUCCAUCCCCAUCCCCUAAGUUUCCACGCCGCCACCCCGGCUCAGGGGCAGCCUCCAAACUUCCCCGCCGCGCUGCCAGCAGCGGCACGGGCAGCAUCAGCAGCUCCGCAAAGUUCCCCGGGCUGCCGCCCCUUACCUCCGCGGGCUCCCGCUGCCCGGCCGCCGGCCGGUAAUCCCCAGAGCGUUGCCGCCAGGGCCAGGAGGAGCGCGGGCAUCGCGGCGGGUGCGGAGCGGCGGCGGCAGCUCCGCCGUUGCGCGGGGACCGGGGAGCAGCAGCAGCGGCAGCAGCAGCAGAAGCAGCGGCAGCAGCGGGGCUUUGCGGCUCCGGGCUCACCGCACGCAGCGAGCGGGCAGCGCGGGGCGCCCGCGGCCCCCAGCGCCGCGCUCCGCCCCCGCCCGCCCCGCGCCCCGCCCCGCGGCACGCCCCGCGCCCGCGGAGCCGCGCGGAGGAAGGCGGCUGCCACCCCCCGCACGCGGGGCACUUUUUGCCUUCUUCUUCUUCUUCUUUUUUUUUUUUUCCUAAAUAUUUUUACUUUUUUUUUUAAAAUUUCAUCUUUUUUUCCUUUUUUUACUUCUUUUUUUCCUUUUUUUUACUUCUUUUUUUUUUCCUUUUUUAUUUCAUCGUUUCUCCCCGUUUCAUCUUUUUCCCUUUUUCAUCUUUUUCCCUUUUUCAUCUUUUUCAUUUUUUAUUUCAUCUUUUUCCCUUAUUUCAUCCUUUUCCUUUUUUUACUUCAUCUUUUCCUUUUUUAUUCCAUCUUUUUCCUUUUUUAUUUCAUCAUUUCCUUUUUUUUACCCCAUCUUUUCCUUUUUUCUUCCAUCUUUUUCUUUUUUGAUUCCCUCUCCUUUUCAAUCCUUAACCUUUCAAUUCUUCCUCCAUUUAUUUCAUUUCUUAACUCCCAUCCAUUUAUUUCACUCCUUAGUUCCCACAAUUCCUCUGGAUUUAUUAAUUUAUUCCUUAUAAAUUCCUUCCUCUGGAAGGCUUCGACGGCAGGCUUGGUGACUCGACAAAAAAAAAAAACAAAAAACUCCCACCCUCACCUUAUUAAGCUUCAGAGAGUAAAGAGCCAUGAGAAAAUGACUUGCAUCAUCCACAUGAGAGCAGAAGUUGAUGCCCAAAGGCUGCUUUGCAAACUUGGUGCCAGUGAAUGGUGGGUCCUGACGUACAUUUAA
RNAcentral lists this long non-coding RNA (1527 nucleotides) under Anas platyrhynchos platyrhynchos (common mallard). RNAcentral describes it as "lncRNA (ENSAPLG00000026403.1)". The record is from RNAcentral. Lineage: Eukaryota; Metazoa; Chordata; Aves; Anseriformes; Anatidae.